UACGCUUCUGUGACAUCUCCACCUUCAAUAUGAAUGUCUCAGAGGUGUGAUGUUGUGGCUUUGUCAUCACACCACUAUUGUAACAGGGGCAGGACAGGAUCACUGAGAGCUGGCGGAGUGGUUCCCUCCAUCUCCUUCCCUCGUUUUUUCAUCUUUGAGGACCUAGCCAGUCACUCCAAAUGAGUCCUCAAUAACUGCCCUGACCCAGAUUCGCUGCUUCCUUCAACCUUCCAGACACCAUCCACACACUGUCGCUGGGUCCCCAGUCGUAUUGUUCUGUACACGUGUUUGUAUUUAGACGACUGAAGCAAGAGGGACCAGAGCUACAAAAGGGGAUGAGGAAGAGAAGUCACCCAGCUGUGAGGCCUUGCAUGGGAUUAAUGUCCCCAACUGGCAACAAAGGAGGACAGGGGGGGGAAAGGUUUCCCUACCUGGCAUCAGAACAGCUGGAAACAGCUGACAAGUCAACAUGUGAACCAGAGACAUGCACAAAAAUCAUUCCUGAAGCCAACUUGGCAAAGUUAGUAAGGCGAGGAGCAACUUAUUGAAAUACAAAAACCCUGCUGCAGGAAGUCAGAGAGUAAGGCAAUUUAAAAAUGCAAAUUAUUAGUCCUGGUUACAUAAAGGGUGAUCAGGACUCCUGCAUGAAGCAGAG
Notolabrus celidotus (New Zealand spotty) is the source of this 655-nucleotide long non-coding RNA. RefSeq lists it as uncharacterized. NCBI's taxonomy places the organism in Eukaryota, Metazoa, Chordata, Actinopteri, Labriformes, Labridae. The transcript has 3 exons. The record is from RefSeq and is a predicted model, not a curated record.